Molecule: transfer RNA, 73 nt
Organism: Eubacterium limosum KIST612
Lineage: Bacteria; Bacillati; Bacillota; Clostridia; Eubacteriales; Eubacteriaceae
Rfam family: tRNA
About the family: Transfer RNA (tRNA) molecules are approximately 80 nucleotides in length. Their secondary structure includes four short double-helical elements and three loops (D, anti-codon, and T loops). Further hydrogen bonds mediate the characteristic L-shaped molecular structure. tRNAs have two regions of fundamental functional importance: the anti-codon, which is responsible for specific mRNA codon recognition, and the 3' end, to which the tRNAs corresponding amino acid is attached (by aminoacyl-tRNA synthetases). tRNAs cope with the degeneracy of the genetic code in two manners: having more than one tRNA (with a specific anti-codon) for a particular amino acid; and 'wobble' base-pairing, i.e. permitting non-standard base-pairing at the 3rd anti-codon position.
Source: Rfam
GGGGGCGUGGCUCAGUUGGGAGAGCGUCUGCUUCGCAUGCAGAAGGUCAGGAGUUCGAGUCUCCUCGUCUCCA